UACGUAGGGGGCUAGCGUUGUCCGGAUUUAUUGGGCGUAAAGAGCUUGUAGGCGGUUUGUCGCGUCUGCUGUGAAAAUCCGGGGCUCAACCCCGGACUUGCAGUGGGUACGGGCAGACUAGAGUGUGGUAGGGGAGACUGGAAUUCCUGGUGUAGCGGUGAAAUGCGCAGAUAUCAGGAGGAACACCGAUGGCGAAGGCAGGUCUCUGGGCCACUACUGACGCUGAGAAGCGAAAGCAUGGGGAGCGAACAGG
RNAcentral lists this ribosomal RNA (253 nucleotides) under uncultured bacterium. RNAcentral's name for it is "partial 16S ribosomal RNA". It matches the Rfam family "Bacterial small subunit ribosomal RNA", at positions 524 to 776 of the family's 1533-position model. The record is from RNAcentral.